Transfer RNA from Grosmannia clavigera kw1407, 74 nucleotides. It matches the Rfam family "tRNA". Rfam says of the family: Transfer RNA (tRNA) molecules are approximately 80 nucleotides in length. Their secondary structure includes four short double-helical elements and three loops (D, anti-codon, and T loops). Further hydrogen bonds mediate the characteristic L-shaped molecular structure. tRNAs have two regions of fundamental functional importance: the anti-codon, which is responsible for specific mRNA codon recognition, and the 3' end, to which the tRNAs corresponding amino acid is attached (by aminoacyl-tRNA synthetases). tRNAs cope with the degeneracy of the genetic code in two manners: having more than one tRNA (with a specific anti-codon) for a particular amino acid; and 'wobble' base-pairing, i.e. permitting non-standard base-pairing at the 3rd anti-codon position. The record is from Rfam. NCBI's taxonomy places the organism in Eukaryota, Fungi, Ascomycota, Sordariomycetes, Ophiostomatales, Ophiostomataceae.
ACCCGAUUGGCACAAUUGGCUAGCGCGUUGGACUUUUAAUCCAAAGGUUAUGGGUUCGACCCCCAUAUCGGGUG